GGAUGGGUGCGUAACGCGUAUGCAACUUGCCUGUUAGAGGGGGAUAACCCGGAGAAAUUCGGACUAACACCGCAUACACUCAUGAGAUUGCAUGAUCAUAUGAGGAAAUAUUUAUAGCUGACAGAUAGGCAUGCGUUCCAUUAGCUAGUAGGUGAGGUAAUGGCUCACCUAGGCGACGAUGGAUAGGGGAACUGAGAGGUUAGUCCCCCACACUGGUACUGAGACACGGACCAGACUCCUACGGGAGGCAGCAGUGAGGAAUAUUGGUCAAUGGGCGAGAGCCUGAACCAGCCAAUUCGCGUGAAGGACGACUGCCCUAUGGGUUGUAAACUUCUUUAGUAGGGGAUUAAAGUUUGCCUUGCGAGGCAAUUUGCAAGUACCCUAAGAAUAAGUAUCGGCUAACUCCGUGCCAGCAGCCGCGGUAAUACGGAGGAUACGAGCGUUAUCCGGAUUUAUUGGGUUU
Molecule: ribosomal RNA, 463 nt
Filed under: uncultured Porphyromonas sp.
Lineage: Bacteria; Pseudomonadati; Bacteroidota; Bacteroidia; Bacteroidales; Porphyromonadaceae
Description: bacterial SSU rRNA
Rfam family: Bacterial small subunit ribosomal RNA
Source: RNAcentral